RNAcentral lists this ribosomal RNA (2292 nucleotides) under Escherichia coli. RNAcentral's name for it is "partial 23S ribosomal RNA". It matches the Rfam family "Bacterial large subunit ribosomal RNA", at positions 673 to 2925 of the family's 2925-position model. The record is from RNAcentral. Lineage: Bacteria; Pseudomonadati; Pseudomonadota; Gammaproteobacteria; Enterobacterales; Enterobacteriaceae.
GAAACCGAGUCUUAACCGGGCGUUAAGUUGCAGGGUAUAGACCCGAAACCCGGUGAUCUAGCCAUGGGCAGGUUGAAGGUUGGGUAACACUAACUGGAGGACCGAACCGACUAAUGUUGAAAAAUUAGCGGAUGACUUGUGGCUGGGGGUGAAAGGCCAAUCAAACCGGGAGAUAGCUGGUUCUCCCCGAAAGCUAUUUAGGUAGCGCCUCGUGAAUUCAUCUCCGGGGGUAGAGCACUGUUUCGGCAAGGGGGUCAUCCCGACUUACCAACCCGAUGCAAACUGCGAAUACCGGAGAAUGUUAUCACGGGAGACACACGGCGGGUGCUAACGUCCGUCGUGAAGAGGGAAACAACCCAGACCGCCAGCUAAGGUCCCAAAGUCAUGGUUAAGUGGGAAACGAUGUGGGAAGGCCCAGACAGCCAGGAUGUUGGCUUAGAAGCAGCCAUCAUUUAAAGAAAGCGUAAUAGCUCACUGGUCGAGUCGGCCUGCGCGGAAGAUGUAACGGGGCUAAACCAUGCACCGAAGCUGCGGCAGCGACACUGUGUGUUGUUGGGUAGGGGAGCGUUCUGUAAGCCUGUGAAGGUGUGCUGUGAGGCAUGCUGGAGGUAUCAGAAGUGCGAAUGCUGACAUAAGUAACGAUAAAGCGGGUGAAAAGCCCGCUCGCCGGAAGACCAAGGGUUCCUGUCCAACGUUAAUCGGGGCAGGGUGAGUCGACCCCUAAGGCGAGGCCGAAAGGCGUAGUCGAUGGGAAACAGGUUAAUAUUCCUGUACUUGGUGUUACUGCGAAGGGGGGACGGAGAAGGCUAUGUUGGCCGGGCGACGGUUGUCCCGGUUUAAGCGUGUAGGCUGGUUUUCCAGGCAAAUCCGGAAAAUCAAGGCUGAGGCGUGAUGACGAGGCACUACGGUGCUGAAGCAACAAAUGCCCUGCUUCCAGGAAAAGCCUCUAAGCAUCAGGUAACAUCAAAUCGUACCCCAAACCGACACAGGUGGUCAGGUAGAGAAUACCAAGGCGCUUGAGAGAACUCGGGUGAAGGAACUAGGCAAAAUGGUGCCGUAACUUCGGGAGAAGGCACGCUGAUAUGUAGGUGAAGUCCCUCGCGGAUGGAGCUGAAAUCAGUCGAAGAUACCAGCUGGCUGCAACUGUUUAUUAAAAACACAGCACUGUGCAAACACGAAAGUGGACGUAUACGGUGUGACGCCUGCCCGGUGCCGGAAGGUUAAUUGAUGGGGUCAGCGCAAGCGAAGCUCUUGAUCGAAGCCCCGGUAAACGGCGGCCGUAACUAUAACGGUCCUAAGGUAGCGAAAUUCCUUGUCGGGUAAGUUCCGACCUGCACGAAUGGCGUAAUGAUGGCCAGGCUGUCUCCACCCGAGACUCAGUGAAAUUGAACUCGCUGUGAAGAUGCAGUGUACCCGCGGCAAGACGGAAAGACCCCGUGAACCUUUACUAUAGCUUGACACUGAACAUUGAGCCUUGAUGUGUAGGAUAGGUGGGAGGCUUUGAAGUGUGGACGCCAGUCUGCAUGGAGCCGACCUUGAAAUACCACCCUUUAAUGUUUGAUGUUCUAACGUGGACCCGUGAUCCGGGUUGCGGACAGUGUCUGGUGGGUAGUUUGACUGGGGCGGUCUCCUCCUAAAGAGUAACGGAGGAGCACGAAGGUUGGCUAAUCCUGGUCGGACAUCAGGAGGUUAGUGCAAUGGCAUAAGCCAGCUUGACUGCGAGCGUGACGGCGCGAGCAGGUGCGAAAGCAGGUCAUAGUGAUCCGGUGGUUCUGAAUGGAAGGGCCAUCGCUCAACGGAUAAAAGGUACUCCGGGGAUAACAGGCUGAUACCGCCCAAGAGUUCAUAUCGACGGCGGUGUUUGGCACCUCGAUGUCGGCUCAUCACAUCCUGGGGCUGAAGUAGGUCCCAAGGGUAUGGCUGUUCGCCAUUUAAAGUGGUACGCGAGCUGGGUUUAGAACGUCGUGAGACAGUUCGGUCCCUAUCUGCCGUGGGCGCUGGAGAACUGAGGGGGGCUGCUCCUAGUACGAGAGGACCGGAGUGGACGCAUCACUGGUGUUCGGGUUGUCAUGCCAAUGGCACUGCCCGGUAGCUAAAUGCGGAAGAGAUAAGUGCUGAAAGCAUCUAAGCACGAAACUUGCCCCGAGAUGAGUUCUCCCUGACCCUUUAAGGGUCCUGAAGGAACGUUGAAGACGACGACGUUGAUAGGCCGGGUGUGUAAGCGCAGCGAUGCGUUGAGCUAACCGGUACUAAUGAACCGUGAGGCUUAACCUUACAACGCCGAAGGUGUUU